Marmota flaviventris (yellow-bellied marmot) is the source of this 1645-nucleotide non-coding RNA. The record is from the annotation of a RefSeq genome assembly. Lineage: Eukaryota; Metazoa; Chordata; Mammalia; Rodentia; Sciuridae.
UGAGACACAAGACUGGGGAGGCAAGGCGCAGAUGUGUGAGUCCAGGCCCCAGGACCAGCCCCAGGCUGGUUACCCGUAAGGCAGUGUCACAAUGUGCUCCUGGGACACCCGACAGAUGUUUUUUGGAACUGGCACUGAACUCUUCGUGGAACCCCAAACUCAGCCUCCUACCAAACCAUCCGUUUUCAUCAUGAAAAAUGGAACAAAUGUUGCUUGUCUGGUGAAGGAUUUCUAUCCCAAGGAUGUAAAUAUAAAUCUCAAAUCAUCUAAGAAGAUAGUAGAAUUUGACCCUGCUAUAGUCGUCUCCCCCAGCGGGAAGUACAGUGCUGUCAAGCUUGGUCGGUAUGAAGAUCCAAAUUCAGUGAGGUGUUCAGUUCAACACAACGGUGAAAUGGUGCACUCCACUGAGUUUGAAUUGAACACAACUUCAGUUGAUAAUCAAAAUCAAGUGAGUCCUAAAAACAAUUCUAAAACUUCAGAGAGCUGCCAUAAACCAAGAGUGCAUGCUGAGAAGGUGAACACGAUGUCCCUCACAGUGCUAGGACUACGAAUGCUGUUUGCUAAGAGCAUUGCCAUCAAUUUUCUCUUGACUGCCAAGUUAUUUUUCUUCUAAGGCUGACUGGCACGAGGAAGCUGCGCUCCCAGAAGGAAACCAAAAGCUUGCGAAGACGCUGUCUCCUAGGCUUCGGCCUUAUUUAAACUGCUGCUAAUCAAACCAAUUUCCCGUUAAAGGCAACAACCCCACUUCAUUCUUAGCCUGGUAGAAAACAAAAGUCCUGGGAAUGGGAGUUUAUGGUCCUAACUAUUUUACAUGCUGCUUUAUACAGUGACUGAAAGAUAUAAAAAAUAUAUAAGACCUAUUUUAUUUUAUUCGUAUACCUGAUACACUUUGAAAAUGAUCUUUCAUUCCAUUUUUACUUUCUUUAAUUCAACAAAUAGAAAGAGGGGAGCAACAGGUCACCAACUCCAUUCCCCAUGAGGAAAAUAGUCCAGGAGGAGGAAAACUGGUGUCCCUUUACCUACACAGGGAAGGCUCUGCUCAGCCCAGCACUAGAUUUGUCCCAAACCAGCAUCCUUGUGUUCCUCUCCUGUGGUUUACUCCACCCUCUAUAUUCACACUAGAGAUUUGACAUGGCAGUAAGGGGUGGAGGGCCAAUUUCAGCACUUUCUGCUUUUCCUGGUACUUUACAAAUGAAAUUACAUUUGACUUCCCUAAUACUCUCUAAGCAGGCAAUGGGGUUUUAAAUUCUCAUCUAAAUACUCUCCAUUCUAUUAGCAAAGAUCAGAGUAAAAUACAAAGGAAAGGCACUUCUUUCUGUUAACUGAUUUAACAUACAUGGACUGAUUCCCUCUAAGUCUCAAGCACUGGACUGAGAGAAGAUGAAUAAGAUAUGGGGCCUGCUUUCAAGCAAUUCAUUAUGCAAGUGUGUUUGGAGUGAGGGAUAGGAGUGAGACCUCUAUUUUCCCUGAUAUAUAUAUAUAUAUAUAUAUAAAAUCUUCUGCCUGUCAAUCUAUACCCAGGGAAUUUGAGAUCAUCAGACAGACACUGAUUCUUUUGCACGGGCCUUUAAUGUUGCUGGUUUUCUGCCUUUUGUCUUAGCCCUCAUCUCAGUUGCAUUUAUUAAACAGCAUCAUGUGCCACCUC